AAGUACUAGGUGGCGUUCCGGACA
RNAcentral lists this non-coding RNA (24 nucleotides) under Arabidopsis thaliana (thale cress). The record is from RNAcentral. Lineage: Eukaryota; Viridiplantae; Streptophyta; Magnoliopsida; Brassicales; Brassicaceae.